Molecule: unclassified non-coding RNA, 250 nt
Filed under: plant metagenome
Description: partial contains small subunit ribosomal RNA, internal transcribed spacer 1, and 5.8S ribosomal RNA
Source: RNAcentral
GUAGGUGAACCUGCGGAAGGGUCAUUAGUAAGUCGUCCCAUGCCCGUUCGUCGGGUAGGACAGAUUCCUCGCAUUUGGAUCCGGGUAGCCUAGGAGGCCGGAUUUCUGCUUAUAGGACCGGAGGGGCUCACGGGCCCCCGGGACAGCCUUGCGCUUGCGCAGCACCCGUCAACAAGUCCGACCUAUUUGUAAGCUUGCGAUGGUGGGUAGGAAUACCGCCUUAAGGAGUUGUGAUUUCAACCCGUGUCUA